Long non-coding RNA from Serinus canaria (Common canary), 368 nucleotides. RefSeq lists it as uncharacterized. The transcript has 3 exons. The record is from RefSeq and is a predicted model, not a curated record. Lineage: Eukaryota; Metazoa; Chordata; Aves; Passeriformes; Fringillidae.
GUGGCACAGUCCCAUCCCAGGGGGGCUCAGGGUGGUGGCACAGUCCCAUCCCAGGGGGCUCAGGGUGGUGGCACAGUCCCAUCCCAGGGGGGCUCAGGGUGGUGGCACAGUCCCAUCCCAGGGGGGCUCAGCCCUCCUGCAGUGCCAGCUGUGGCUCUGCUGGAGCAGGGAUCCUGCUCAAGGGGGGAGUUUUCCUCUGCAGCUCCAGGGCUGCUGGAGAUGGGCCUGCUCUCCCUCUGGGAAUGCAGGGCAGCAGAAAGCUGCUCCUCUGGGAAUGCAGGGGGCAAAGGCUGCUGGGCUGUUCCCAGGGCAGAUUGGAUCCAGGCAGGAAUGCUUGGCUCCUCCCCUGGGCACAGCAUCUCCCCAUG